AACGAACGCUGGCGGCAUGCCUAACACAUGCAAGUCGAACGAGACCUUCGGGUCUAGUGGCGCACGGGUGCGUAACGCGUGGGAACCUGCCCUUAGGUUCGGAAUAACUCCCCGAAAGGGGUGCUAAUACCGGAUAAUGUCUUCGGACCAAAGAUUUAUCGCCUUUGGAUGGGCCCGCGUUGGAUUAGCUAGUUGGUAGGGUAAAAGCCUACCAAGGCGACGAUCCAUAGCUGGUCUGAGAGGAUGAUCAGCCACACUGGGACUGAGACCCGGCCCAGACCCCUACGGGAGGCGGGAGUGGGGAAUAUUGGACAAGGGGAGAAAGCCUGAUCCAGCAAUGCCGGGUGGGUGAUGAAGGCCUUGGGGUUGUAAAGCUUUUUUACCCGGGAUGAUAAUGACAGUACCGGGAAAAUAAGCCCCGGCUAACCCCGU
RNAcentral lists this ribosomal RNA (432 nucleotides) under uncultured bacterium. RNAcentral describes it as "partial 16S ribosomal RNA". It matches the Rfam family "Bacterial small subunit ribosomal RNA", at positions 29 to 506 of the family's 1533-position model. The record is from RNAcentral.